RNAcentral lists this ribosomal RNA (548 nucleotides) under Bifidobacterium bifidum. Its description in RNAcentral is "bacterial SSU rRNA". It matches the Rfam family "Bacterial small subunit ribosomal RNA", at positions 146 to 706 of the family's 1533-position model. The record is from RNAcentral. Lineage: Bacteria; Bacillati; Actinomycetota; Actinomycetes; Bifidobacteriales; Bifidobacteriaceae.
UCUCCUGGAAACGGGUGGUAAUGCCGGAUGUUCCACAUGAUCGCAUGUGAUUGUGGGAAAGAUUCUAUCGGCGUGGGAUGGGGUCGCGUCCUAUCAGCUUGUUGGUGAGGUAACGGCUCACCAAGGCUUCGACGGGUAGCCGGCCUGAGAGGGCGACCGGCCACAUUGGGACUGAGAUACGGCCCAGACUCCUACGGGAGGCAGCAGUGGGGAAUAUUGCACAAUGGGCGCAAGCCUGAUGCAGCGACGCCGCGUGAGGGAUGGAGGCCUUCGGGUUGUAAACCUCUUUUGUUUGGGAGCAAGCCUUCGGGUGAGUGUACCUUUCGAAUAAGCGCCGGCUAACUACGUGCCAGCAGCCGCGGUAAUACGUAGGGCGCAAGCGUUAUCCGGAUUUAUUGGGCGUAAAGGGCUCGUAGGCGGCUCGUCGCGUCCGGUGUGAAAGUCCAUCGCUUAACGGUGGAUCUGCGCCGGGUACGGGCGGGCUGGAGUGCGGUAGGGGAGACUGGAAUUCCCGGUGUAACGGUGGAAUGUGUAGAUAUCGGGAAGAA